CACGCCACUGCCUAGACCCGGUUGGCUUCUUCUUCAGUUACUUGCAAUGGUAAGGAGAAGAACACCAGUGAGCUUAAGUGAGUUUUACAACCAUCUGUGCUUCACCCUUCUUGUAACAACUCUCCAUUGCACACACAAUGGGCACCAUUCUUUCUCUUUCAACUCGGUUUUAAUGAUGAACUAAGAACACCUCUUCUGAACCUGAAACAUCACUCAAAC
RNAcentral lists this long non-coding RNA (219 nucleotides) under Brassica napus (rape). RNAcentral describes it as "long non-coding RNA (BNAP_LNC026550)". The record is from RNAcentral. Lineage: Eukaryota; Viridiplantae; Streptophyta; Magnoliopsida; Brassicales; Brassicaceae.